UACGGAGGGUGCGAGCGUUGUCCGGAAUCACUGGGCGUAAAGGGCGCGUAGGUGGCGCGAGUAGUCAACGGUGAAAGCCCGGGGCUCAACCCCGGGUCGGCCGUCGAUACUCUCGUGCUUGAGCACUGUAGAGGCAGGUGGAAUUCCGGGUGUAGCGGUGGAAUGCGUAGAGAUCCGGAAGAACACCGGUGGCGAAGGCGGCCUGCUGGGCAGUAGCUGACACUGAGGCGCGAAAGCUAGGGGAGCAAACGGG
RNAcentral lists this ribosomal RNA (253 nucleotides) under uncultured bacterium. Its description in RNAcentral is "partial 16S ribosomal RNA". It matches the Rfam family "Bacterial small subunit ribosomal RNA", at positions 524 to 776 of the family's 1533-position model. The record is from RNAcentral.